This 498-nucleotide ribosomal RNA is filed under the name uncultured bacterium. Its description in RNAcentral is "partial 16S ribosomal RNA". It matches the Rfam family "Bacterial small subunit ribosomal RNA", at positions 28 to 507 of the family's 1533-position model. The record is from RNAcentral.
GACGAACGCUGGCGGCGUGCCUAAUACAUGCAAGUCGAACGAGAGCGCCCGGUGCUUGCACUGGUCAAUCUAGUGGCGAACGGGUGAGUAACACGUGGGUAACCUGCUCAUCAGAGGGGGAUAACAUCCGGAAACGGAUGCUAAAACCGCAUAGGUCUUCGAGCCGCAUGGCUUGAAGCGGAAAAGAGGCGCAAGCUUCUGCUGAUGGAUGGACCCGCGGUGCAUUAGCGGGUUGGUGAGGUAACGGUUCACCAAGGCCGUGAUGCAUAGCCGACCUGAGAGGGUGAUCGGCCACAUUGGGACUGAGACACGGCCCAAACUCCUACGGGAGGCAGCAGUAGGGAAUCUUCCGCAAUGGACGCAAGUCUGACGGGGCAACGCCGCGUGAGUGAAGAAGGUUUUCGGAUCGUAAAACUCUGUUGUUAGAGAAGAACAAGUGCUAGAGUAACUGUUAGCGCCUUGACGGUAUCUAAACAGAAAGCCACGGCUAACUACGUG